CCUGGCAGCUCUAUUUAUAUACAGCUCCAUUUUUGAAGAAAUAUAUUUCAGUUGUAGCUGUUAGAAAACGCAAGUGGAAUCUGCACCACAAAAAUGAAAUGAAAAUGCAGCAGUAAACGCUCUCCUCCUCUCCUUGCUGACUUUUCCGUGAUGCCUGCUACCCCUAGCUGUCUGAUGUCCCCUGUUGUGAGGCUCAGUUGUGCUAACAGAAGCAGUUUUCUGAGUGGAGGAACUCAAUUGGACUGUGGUCAAAACCUGAAACCAAUUUUAGAUGGGGAAAAUCUCACUUAGAUUCUCCAAGCAAGUACAAAGUCCUCAAAACUUCCCAAAUGAGGCACUUGAGGUUCUUCCAGGACACGGAGAGUGAUCAGCUGGCCGUAAAUCAGUGCUGCUUCAGCUCUUGAAAUCGUUAGGAUGGAAGGUCACUUCAUCAACUGUUAUUUGCAGCUUCUUAAACCAUCCAAGCAACUUCAAAAUGAAAGACAAUUUGGAGGGCUACUUCUGCCCUGUAAUUUCAACCGUUUGGGAGUUUACUCUGCUUAUGAAAGAAAACUGAGCAAUGAUUAUGAUCUUGUCCUGUGGAGAGGAUCCUCCUUGCACAUGGCCAGCAGGGCAUUGCAGUAGUAUGUCUCCUUCCUGCACAACCAAGGAUAACAUGAGAAGGCCAAGACUGCAUGGGAUGAAACCACCAACAGUACAGACUUCCCUUCCAUCAUCUGCCAGAACAGGAAGGCGCCAAUUUGCAGCAAGUUCUGCCAAGGGCAGGGUAGUAAAAGAAGAGGUGCACAGUUCAGAAGAACAUUUUAUGGCCUUUGGAUUAAAAUCAUUCAGUCUGUCCUCAUACUUGAUUUUUAACAGUUGCAUUUAUAUGUUAAGAAAACAAUGGUAUUGUUUAUGA
RNAcentral lists this long non-coding RNA (898 nucleotides) under Pogona vitticeps (central bearded dragon). RNAcentral describes it as "lncRNA (ENSPVIG00000008355.1)". Lineage: Eukaryota; Metazoa; Chordata; Lepidosauria; Squamata; Agamidae. The record is from RNAcentral.